CGGGGUGUAGUAUAACGGUAGUAUACAGGGUUCGGGACUCUGCGGCCUGGGUUCAACUCCCAGCACCCCGA
This is a non-coding RNA of Parcubacteria bacterium DG_74_1, 71 nucleotides long. NCBI's taxonomy places the organism in Bacteria, Candidatus Parcubacteria. The record is from Rfam.